Molecule: long non-coding RNA, 1070 nt
Filed under: Marmota monax (woodchuck)
Lineage: Eukaryota; Metazoa; Chordata; Mammalia; Rodentia; Sciuridae
Source: RNAcentral
GUAAGCAUUGUGCAAAGGAAGUACUGCUAUUCUCCCCAUUUUACAGAUAAGAGAAUGAAGCCCAGAGUGGGUAUGUGACUUGCCCAAAGCCCCACAGCUAAGUAGGGGAGUUGGGUUUGAACAUGUUCGUCUAACCCCAAGUUCCUGCCCAACACUUGCUAUUUUAUUCUCUGGCUCAGAGACAAGGUGUUUCUCUUGAUCUUUUGCACAAUGGGACCCGGGAUAGGAGAAGGGGAGAUGUUAACUGCUAGCGUCCCCCUUAAAACUCAUUAGGGAAAUACAUAGCCAUGUCCUCUCUCUCCCUAAAUGAACAGUCCCCUGAUGACAGGUGCCACUGGGUUGCUUGGGUGUGGAAGCAGCUCCUGCUAACUGCUAGGUACACCUCUUGUCUGCCCCCCUCCUUCCCUCCCUGAGCCUGGCCCUCUUAGGGUUCAGCCUUAUUCUUCUGAACAUAAAACUGGCCGCCUCCUCUCCUGGGCCUCCCCAGCUCUCCAAGGUUAGUUGAUUGGGAGCUGCGAGGCCACGUGGGUUCCAGGGCAACAUGCCCACAUUCUCCAGCAAAACUUCUUUGCCUCCCAGGCAGGGGACAGGACAGAUAGCCACAGUCACCAUGGAGGCUCCCGGUCCUCCCUGAUAAUCCCAAGACCCCCCUCACCCCGCCUUGUUGCCUGGGCACACCCAGGGUGCUUCCGGAAAGUGUCAAGAGUGUGCCCCACCCCACACAGGUCCCCACCCCCCGGGACAUCAGGAGAUGGCUUACCCCUUGGGAAGCUGGCACCUCUGAGCCUGGUGCCCUCCCCACCAGUCUCCUUGCAACUGGAAAUCAUUUCCAGUGGGAGCAGCCGCCGGCCUUGGAGUUGUUGCCUCGUUGCCUCGUGACUGGGACAAAGGGGAAUGUAGGACAUGGGCGCUCCUGGCUGCUGCUCUUCAACUGAGAACCGCGCCAGCCAGAAAACUCUCGCUAAUGGCCUUCUCCGAACCUCCUUCUAGAUAAUGAUAAAUAAUGUGUAUUUUUAGUUUGGAAUUGAAUUUCAUCUCUCCAUUGCUGGUGUGUUUCAGGUGUUUUCCCC